RNAcentral lists this transfer RNA (66 nucleotides) under Comparmustilia sphingiformis. RNAcentral's name for it is "tRNA-Ile". The record is from RNAcentral. Lineage: Eukaryota; Metazoa; Arthropoda; Insecta; Lepidoptera; Endromidae.
AAUAAAGUGCCUGAUUUAAAGGAUUAUUUUGAUAGGAUAAAUUAAGUAGUUUUUUUACCUUUAUUA